AAUAUUGGACAAUGGGGGCAAGCCUGAUCCAGCCAUGCCGCGUGAGUGAAGAAGGCCCUAGGGUUGUAAAGCUCUUUCACCCGCGAAGAUGAUGACGGUAGCGGGAGAAGAAGCCCCGGCUAACUACGUGCCAGCAGCCGCGGUAAUACGUAGGGGGCGAGCGUUGUCCGGAAUUACUGGGCGUAAAGGGUACGUAGGCGGCUAUAUAAGUCAGGUGUGAAAUACCAGUGCUUAACACUGGAAUUGCAUUUGAAACUGUGUAGCUUGAGUGCAGGAGAGGAAAGUGGAAUUCCUAGUGUAGCGGUGAAAUGCGUAGAGAUUAGGAGGAACACCAGUGGCGAAGGCGACUUUCUGGACUGUAACUGACGCUGAGGUACGAAAGCGUGGGUAGCGAACA
This 397-nucleotide ribosomal RNA is filed under the name uncultured bacterium. Its description in RNAcentral is "partial 16S ribosomal RNA". It matches the Rfam family "Bacterial small subunit ribosomal RNA", at positions 360 to 774 of the family's 1533-position model. The record is from RNAcentral.